RNAcentral lists this ribosomal RNA (498 nucleotides) under uncultured bacterium. Its description in RNAcentral is "partial 16S ribosomal RNA". It matches the Rfam family "Bacterial small subunit ribosomal RNA", at positions 28 to 507 of the family's 1533-position model. The record is from RNAcentral.
GAUGAACGCUGGCGGCGUGCCUAAUACAUGCAAGUCGAGCGAACGGACGAGAAGCUUGCUUCUCUGAUGUUAGCGGCGGACGGGUGAGUAACACGUGGAUAACCUACCUAUAAGACUGGGAUAACUUCGGGAAACCGGAGCUAAUACCGGAUAAUAUUUUGAACCGCAUGGUUCAAAAGUGAAAGACGGUCUUGCUGUCACUUAUAGAUGGAUCCGCGCUGCAUUAGCUAGUUGGUAAGGUAACGGCUUACCAAGGCAACGAUGCAUAGCCGACCUGAGAGGGGGGAGGGCCCACCGGGAAACUGAAACCGGGCCCAGACACCUCGGGAGGGCGCAGGGGGGGAUUUUCCCGAAGAGGCAGAAGGCCGGAGGGGCCAACGCGGGGGGAGGAAGAAGGGUUUCGGUAUCUAAAACCUUUUUUAUGGGGAAAAACCAUAUUUUAAAUAAACGGUCCAAAUUUGGCGGGAACCUAACAAAAAACCCCCGGCAAACCCCGUC